Molecule: ribosomal RNA, 258 nt
Filed under: Triticum aestivum (bread wheat)
Lineage: Eukaryota; Viridiplantae; Streptophyta; Magnoliopsida; Poales; Poaceae
Description: partial small subunit ribosomal RNA
Source: RNAcentral
UUUUCAAGAACUGGUUAUUCUUUGCCUCGGGAUCAAAUUGGCUAUUGGGCAGUCAAAAUUGUGACAGGUGUACCUGACGCCAUUCCAGUAAUAGGAUCACCUUUAGUGGAGUUAUUACGCGGAAGUUCUAGUGUGGGCCAAUCCACUUUGACUCGUUUUUAUAGUUUACAUACCUUUGUACUGCCUCUUCUUACUGCCAUAUUUAUGUUAAUGCACUUUCCAAUGAUACGUAAGCAAGGUAUUUCAGGUCCUUUAUAG